Molecule: long non-coding RNA, 1115 nt
Organism: Canis lupus familiaris (dog)
Lineage: Eukaryota; Metazoa; Chordata; Mammalia; Carnivora; Canidae
Exons: 3
Source: RefSeq, a predicted model, not a curated record
UAGCGGUCGCGGCCCGCAGGCGCGGCGUGGGGAGGCAAGACUUUGUGUCCGACCCACGCGGGCAGCGGGGACCCCGAGGCCGAGAAGCUCUCUGGAGCCCGAGGACGGGUCUUUCCGUCCAGGGUGUCGCCGAGUUCCUUGUUUAGCUGCCGGGCAAACUGAGGCAGGGGCAGCGAGGAUGCUCGCGGAGUUUAACGCGCAGUUAAUGGAGAGAACUUUUUCCAGACCUAGGCGUCGGCCCCAUCCUCCUUUGAAAAUUGGAAUAACCUUGAACUUCAUCGAACCUGUUCUCUCAUUUGCACUUGGAGUCUUGAGGAAGGGAUUUGCCCAAAGCUGCACAGUGAGUUGGUGGCAGAGCCAGUGAUUUAGCCUCUCUUGCCUGAGUUCCUAUCUCAAACGUAGCUGUCAGCUGUCGGAGACACUAAGGAGGCUGCCACACAAAGAAGUUACUUGGGAGACAAAGCAGGCCGGACCCUUCUGACAAUCUCUGGAGCCCCCCAGUGGAGAGGAGAAUGAAGGGAAAAGUAAACCAGAGAGGAAGAGUUGCCCUUGAAGUUGUCCACUGGGUUCCACGGCAUUUAGAAUAAAGUGAUGCUCUUUACCUGAGCAGACAAUCCCGUAUACUGUCCAUUCACUGCCAGUUUGUCCAGCUUCAUCUAGAAUCGCUGUUUCCUUUGCUCACUCAAGUCUAGCCACCCUGGUUUUGUGCUCUUUGAAGCUCAUGCUGAGCCUGUCCACAUCCCAGGGCAUGUGAGUGAGCCUUCUUCAUGCAUGAACUCCUCACCAUUCAGACACCAGCUCAUAUUUCUUUAUCUCAGACAGAACUUCCUUCAACUCUUCACUUCCAGUUGUUUCUUCCCCACUUCUCCCCUACGCACUCUUGCUUUUUCCAUCUCAUCACUCACCAUGAGCUAGAAUUAAUUUGCUUUUGUAACUUCUUUGCUAUGGUUUGCCCAUUGAAUGCAGGCUCUGUGAAGGUGGGAAUGGCAACUGCUUUAUCCACCAUUAUAUAUACAGUGUGAAACUGGUGUUUGGUAUAUAGUAAGUGUUCAAUUAAAUGAAGAAACAUUUCUCUGUUCCCAUCAUUCUCUGCAUUGCUUAGUACAGGAGGAAAA